This 85-nucleotide microRNA precursor is filed under the name Pelobates cultripes (western spadefoot toad). Lineage: Eukaryota; Metazoa; Chordata; Amphibia; Anura; Pelobatidae. The record is from RNAcentral.
GGAGGAGACAGACCUUAUUUGAUGUAUCCCUUAUUUUUGAUAUAUAUAUAUAAGGGAUACAUCAAAUAAGGUCUGUCUCCUCCCA